This is a non-coding RNA of Oryza sativa Japonica Group (Japanese rice), 966 nucleotides long. Lineage: Eukaryota; Viridiplantae; Streptophyta; Magnoliopsida; Poales; Poaceae. The record is from RefSeq and is a predicted model, not a curated record.
CUCGCACCGCACGCGCGCACCCUCUCCCCUCUCCCCUCUCCCCUCUCCAUCCUCGCAUGUGUGUGUGUCCUCUCCCCUUUCGGCUCCCUCCAUCACGCCCCUCUUCCCAACCGCUCUCCCCGCUCCCUUCGCCGCCGCCUCCUCUGCUCGCGCGCCUCCGCCCGUCGCGCCGAUCCACGCCGCCACCGACAACGAUCUCCUCCGCGCUGCCCCUCCGCCCAUUGCAACGAUAUCGCACCGCCCUCCGUGCAUCCCCUAACUUGCGCCCCCAUCCCUCCCUUCACCAUCGGUGGCCGCCUCCCCUUCCAACCUCGCCGCCCUGCGAUUCCCCUAAGCGCUGCGCGUUCUCAUCCCUCCCCUCACCAUUUCCUUCGAACCUCUCCGGCCAUCCGCCCUCAUCCCUCCCCUCACUAUCCCCUUCCAACCUCGCCGGCCAUCCACCCGUUGCCCCCUGCCCGUCGGAGAUCGACGGCCGCCGGUUUCACUAACCGCCACAAUCAACCCCAUACCUGAGCCGAGAUUAUUUGUAUUUUGCGGGAGGAUCCUGGGAGCAAUUUAAAUCAAUGCAUAGUAUUUGAUUUUGACCAAAUCCACUAUAGUGAUGGCAGAUGAACAGUGAUACUACUUCAACAUCAGAAAAUUUCUGGGCAACGCUGGUGCCAACAUCAGCUACCCGCCGCAAACGCCUCUGGAUCUCGCAUCCCACCACGUCGAGGCAGGGUCGGUUAGGCCGGCAAAACAUUGACAGCAUCGCCCAACACUCACCACAGACAAUGAGAACAAAAGUAAGGAACUGUCUAAACAGACUGCAACAUACACAAAAAAAAUAUUGUGUAUAGUGAGGUUCUCACAAAAUAGUCAAGGUAUAUUAUGUUACUAAUUAACCAAUCUGAUGCUUGCUUACGAUCCUUCUUUUUGUAAUUAUUCUUAUUAUACGUUAUAUGUAACAUUUCGUGUUUUUUUAUU